GACGAACGCUGGCGGCGUGCCUAAUACAUGCAAGUCGAACGAACGGAUAAAGAGCUUGCUCUUUUGAAGUUAGUGGCGGACGGGUGAGUAACACGUGGGUAACCUGCCUCACAGCUGGGGAUAACAUCGAGAAAUCGAUGCUAAUACCGAAUGUGCUGAACAUCAUAAGAUGUUCAAGUGAAAGACGGUUUCGGCUGUCACUGUGAGAUGGACCCGGCUGGAUUAGCUAGUGGUAGUAAUGGCUUACAGGCGACGAUCCAUAGCCGACCUGAGAGGGUGAUCGGCCAC
Molecule: ribosomal RNA, 288 nt
Filed under: uncultured bacterium
Lineage: Bacteria
Description: partial 16S ribosomal RNA
Rfam family: Bacterial small subunit ribosomal RNA
Source: RNAcentral